Molecule: ribosomal RNA, 451 nt
Filed under: uncultured soil bacterium
Lineage: Bacteria
Description: partial 16S ribosomal RNA
Source: RNAcentral
GAAUUCGAUUCGGUGUGACAAGGCCCGGGAACGUAUUCACCGCGGCGUGCUGAUCCGCGAUUACUAGCGAUUCCAACUUCAUGGAGUCGAGUUGCAGACUCCAAUCCGAACUGAGAGCGGCUUUUUGGGAUUAGCUCCCCCUCGCGGGUUUGCGACCCUUUGUACCGCCCAUUGUAGCACGUGUGUGGCCCUGGACAUAAGGGCCAUGAUGACUUGACGUCGUCCCCACCUUCCUCCGGCUUAACGCCGGCAGUCUCCCUAGAGUGCCCAACUGAAUGGUGGCAACUAAGGACGAGGGUUGCGCUCGUUGCGGGACUUAACCCAACACCUCGCGGCACGAGCUGACGACAGCCAUGCAGCACCUGAACCGGCAGUCCCCGAAGGGAAAGUCCUAUUUCUAGGACGGUCCGCCGUUGUCUAGCCCAGGUAAGGUUCUUCGCGUUAAUCACUA